RNAcentral lists this ribosomal RNA (833 nucleotides) under bacterium MD5. RNAcentral describes it as "bacterial SSU rRNA". It matches the Rfam family "Bacterial small subunit ribosomal RNA", at positions 62 to 920 of the family's 1533-position model. The record is from RNAcentral.
CCGCGUUCCUGAAGGGGUUUGGGACUCAGUCGACGCCCUUCGGGGGAGUGGAGACGGGUGAGUAACGCGUGGGAAUCUACCCAGCUCUACGGAAUAACCCAGGGAAACUUGGACUAAUACCGUAUACGUCCUUCGGGAGAAAGAUUUAUCGGAGUUGGAUGAGCCCGCGUUGGAUUAGCUAGUUGGUGGGGUAAUGGCCUACCAAGGCGACGAUCCAUAGCUGGUCUGAGAGGAUGAUCAGCCACACUGGGACUGAGACACGGCCCAGACUCCUACGGGAGGCAGCAGUCGGGAAUAUUGGACAAUGGGCGCAAGCCUGAUCCAGCCAUGCCGCGUGUGUGAUGAAGGCCCUAGGGUUGUAAAGCACUUUCAACGGUGAAGAUAAUGACGGUAACCGUAGAAGAAGCUCCGGCUAACUUCGUGCCAACAGCCGCGGUAAUACGAAGGGAGCUAGCGUUGUUCGGAAUUACUGGGCGUAAAGCGCGCGUAGGCGGAUUGAUCAGUCAGAUGUGAAAUCCCGGGGCUCAACCCCGGAACUGCCUUUGAUACUGUCAAUCUAUAGGUCGAGAGAGGUGAGUGGAAUUCCGAGUGUAGAGGUGAAAUUCGUAGAUAUUCGGAGGAACACCAGUGGCGAAGGCGGCUCAUUGGAUCGAUACUGACGCUGAGGUGCGAAAGCGUGGGGGAGCAAACAGCAUAGGAUACCCUGGGUAGUCCACGCCGUAUACGAUGGAAGCUAGCCGUCGGGCAGUAUACUGUUCGGUGGCGCAAUUAACGCAUUAACGCUUCCCGCCUGGGGAGUACGGUCGCAGAUUAAACUCAAGAUUUAGGGGGAA